GGAAAUAAAAGUCGUAACAAGGUUUCCGUAGGUGAACCUGCGGAAGGAUCAUUAUUGAAUGAAACACUUCUGGCUUUAUGCUGUUGUGCUGGCCCUUUGGGCAAUGUGCACACGGCUCUGGUCACUUGUUUCUUCUGUUCCACCUGUGCACUGCCUGUAGACACGCUGUGUCUAUGAUAUUUGUUAACACACAACAAUGUUAGUCGGCAUGUUAUAUAUAAUAAUAAAAUAUACAACUUUCAACAACGGAUCUCUUGGCUCUC
This 263-nucleotide unclassified non-coding RNA is filed under the name plant metagenome. RNAcentral describes it as "partial contains small subunit ribosomal RNA, internal transcribed spacer 1, and 5.8S ribosomal RNA". The stretch from base 1 to 54 matches the Rfam family "Eukaryotic small subunit ribosomal RNA", at positions 1778 to 1831 of the family's 1831-position model. The record is from RNAcentral.